CGGGACCUCGGGCCGCCAGCCCCUUCCACGUGCAGGCUCCUGCUGCUCUCGCGGGGGCUUUUCGUGUGUCCCCCGAGAUGUCGAGGAAGCCAGCAGCAUGAACAGACUGAGAUAGCGGCUUACAUGUAACCGGAAGCUGCAGAAAAACAUCUUCAGACAGCUGAGACGGCUCCCAGGACUCGUGCCUGGCACAGACACCAUCUGCCUGGCAGGGCAAAGAAAGGCGUCUGUGAGUGUGGGAGGAUUCCGAGUCUAACACCCUGAGCCCAGCCAGGAAGGGGCCAGGAAGGCCUCCUCGUGAACAACGAAUGAAACAGAUCCCAGAUCUCAGACAGGGCGGGGAAGGGGAGGGGUACCAUGUCAAGCAGCACUCUGUGUAAGUCGGCACCUGCGCACACUUGCAUGCAGACGUGUGUAUUGUGAGUGUAUGGACAUGUUAGAAAUGGAUGUGUGCAUGUGUCUGCAUGUGUUUGUGCAUUUAUGCACAGACACUACACGGGCAUGCACAUCAUGUACGUAUAUGUUUGCAUAUGUGCACGUGUGUGUACGUGCAUGUGUUCGUGUGUGCAUGCACACAGCAUGCGUGUGUGUGUAUACUUGCAUGCAUGCUAACAUAUGGUGGAGAAUAAAUAAUGAUCACCUCUCUGGAACUGGGGAAAGUAAGUGUUAAACAGAUUUUCGACAGGAAAUGCUGCUGCAAGGAAUUCGUCCGUAGGCUAGCACUACAACCUGGAGGCAGGGAGCAGUGAGGAGUGGAAGUCUUCCCAUCAGAAGUGAGGAAGGCUGGAUACGGUGGCUCACACCAGUAAUCCCAGCACUUUGGGAGGCAAAGGCAGGAGGAUCACUUGAGCCCAGGAGUUU
This 861-nucleotide long non-coding RNA is filed under the name Homo sapiens (human). Its description in RNAcentral is "novel transcript". The record is from RNAcentral. Lineage: Eukaryota; Metazoa; Chordata; Mammalia; Primates; Hominidae.